Molecule: long non-coding RNA, 5763 nt
Organism: Balaenoptera acutorostrata (minke whale)
Lineage: Eukaryota; Metazoa; Chordata; Mammalia; Artiodactyla; Balaenopteridae
Exons: 7
Source: RefSeq, a predicted model, not a curated record
UUAUCCAAGAAUUUGCAACCAGAUGGUUCUUUGUACAAGGAAAUUAGGCCUCAGUCAUUGUAUAAUUAGAACUUUCUUUGGAGCUGUAUCAUUUGGUGAAUAUUUUUGCCAUUAAUUGGCUUAUUCUUUUCCUGCUUGGUUUGCUUUUGGUUUUGUUUGACUAUUUGUACAAAGUCUUGUCUUGUGUGUCUUUGUUUUGACCUGAAUUGUCUUGUGUCUUUUGAAUGCAUAGAGAAUGCUCCACGGGGAGCAUAGGCUCCAAUCCAAUCCAAACCAGCCCCAAGGACUAUAAGCUGGAGAUCCAGAUACCAACAAACGAUUCAUGUAAAAGCGAUGGAUCAAAUUCUGCUCUCGGUCCCCUUCAAAAUUGUAUGAGGAUACUCCUUGUCUUAUCAAUUUGUAAAAGAAGUCACUUUGUUCAGUCUAUACCAAGGUCAAUAAUUGUUGGGUUAUUGUUUAUCUGACCCCUUCUUAGCCUUUGUUUGGUUGGGGAAUCUGAAACACCAUUCAUAAGCACACAGACUUUUGACCAACUGUAGUGGUUGGUCUUUUUGUCAUGGGUUUGGCUAUGUCAAAGCCUCAACCUCCUCCUGGCAGAAUUCCUGCUUCUCAUACGAAUUUGCAUUUAACUGGGUAAGUGGCAAAAUAUUGUUUUUACUUGGUGUAUUAGUUUACAAGGGCUGCCAUAACAAAGUAUCACAGGCUAGGUUGUUUAAACAACAGAGAUUUAUGAUUUUCUCACAACUCUGGAAGCUUGAAGUCCAAGAUCAAUGUGUCAGCAAGAUUGGUUUCUUCUAAGGCCCCUCUCCUUGGCUUGUAGAUAGCUGUCUUCUCCCUAGGUCUUCACAUGGUCUUCCCUCUGGGUCUGUGUUCUCAUCUCUUCUUCUAAGGACACCAGUCACACUGGAGUAGGGCCCAUCCUAAUUAUCUCACUUAAACUUAUUCACCACUUUAAAGACCAUAUCUCCAAAUACAAUCACACUUUGAGGCAGUGGGGUUUAGGACUUCUACAGAUGAAUUUUAGGGGGACACAAUUCAGCCUAUAGCAUGUGGAAUAAUUGAUUGUUUGGAGGAGACAUGUCAAAGUGAGGAAAUUAAUACAUUUAACAAUAGUUCUAGAAAAUUAUGAGAAAUUAUAUUAAAAAUUCAAUAAUCAGUAACUUUGUAUGGGGACAGAUGGUUACUAGACUUAUUGUGGUGAUCAUUUCAUAAUGUACAUAUAUAUUAUGCAGGAUAUCUGAAACUCACAUAAUAUUGUACAUCAACUAUAUUUCAAUUUUAAAAAUUCAAUAGUCAGCUUCCUUGAUUGAUAUUCUAAGGACUCAAAACAAAACACUGACUCCAAGAGAGUCCGUCUCCAUAAGUUUCUAUUUCAGUCCCAUCCAAACUUUCAGGAUUCUGUCCUUUUCGCACUGCUCUACUUUAUUGUCACCACCCACUUAGGUCCCUCUCUUCCUUCUGCUCUUUCUCCCGACUUUCUAAGUGAAUUUGUCUCAGGAAAGGCACAAUAACAUCACAAAAUAUCCCCUUAAAACUACUAGAUGAGAAGGCAUAUCUAUAGCACCUGAAAUUUAACUACAGUCUAGUGCUAAAUUGAGGGCUAUAAUUAUAGAAUUUUUGUAAACCUCAGGAAGGAAGAAAUUUGCUGUAGAAUUUAGGAUUUUGCUAGACUGAUUGUCCUGGGCUAUCAGAUUUUUACCAACCUAACUUUAGUUCACUUAAUUGUUAGUCCCCCAUGUGAGGGACAAUGUUAAAAGCAGCAGCAGAGGAGAGAGAGAAACUAAAUAACCCAGCUAUGCCACAGUUUUUUCAAUGGCCCUGAAAGGGCAAGAAAAAUAAGAAAGUUACUAAAAAUAAGGCCAUUUCAGAAGCCUUUUCAUUAUAGGCAGUGGUAUGCUGGUAAAUAUUUAACCACCAGCCCUCAACCUGAAAGGGGACCCAUGAAUUGUAGGGUUUGCAGAUUUCCAUGGUGUAAAUGUACCCACGCUGGCCAAUUCCAGGCUAACAACAUGACAUCAUUGAAUGCAGUAUUGAGUAGAGAGGCUCUCAAGAGCCGGUGCAAGCUGGCUCCAGCACACACUGCUCCAGGCUAGCUUGGCUAGAUUCAGAUUCGCAAACAAAAUAAGGAAUCAACAGUGGCUUCAGGAAACUUCCAGUGAUAUUCUAGGGUAGACCUACAGCCAAAGUCAAGGGAAUCUAUUUUCGUUUUUAAUGUCCUCUGACCUGAAAUAAGAGAAUCGGAAAACAAUAAAUUGGAAUGAAAAGUUGCCAAUUUAAACAUUUCUCAACAGGAAGCCCUAUAGAAAUAAAAAAGUUAAAAAUGGAAACAAACAUCUGGCUUAAGCCACUGGUCCAGAGACCGGAAGGUGCUCUGUGCACUCAGAAUGCAGAGCUUGUUGAAAGGAUCACCUGCAGGUGUUGCAAACAUCGGAAGGACUAAUGCCUCACGAUCUGUAGAAACUCAAGAGCAACUUUCCAAAAUCUGUCCAGCGAUGUCCCUCAGGCAGACAUUAAUACCCAACACUCCCUGCCCUUCCUUCCUCUAAACUCCAUCUAUAGCAGAUAGCUGUUCUACCUGGGUACCUCUGGAGUCUUUUCAUGUGGUUCAGUGAAGCUGACCUCAGCUCCAUCCCCCUCUUCCUUCAGACUAGCAGGUGACUCAGAGGUGGCUGAUCAGGAACUCUAGCCCAUUGGUUCCAUGAUGGGCAAAUGACCCAACCUGUGUCCUUGAUCUCCAGAAUUUUUAGGAAGGAUGGUAUCUCUUCAGUGGAGUUAAGCUGGCUGCCAAGCUAGAAAGCAGAAUCCAUUUCUCCUUAUACCUGGGCUUGCCCUGGGGCAGCUCACCUGUUUUCGUGCCUCUGCUUCUGUUUCCCUGCAAUUACUUUUCCCUUCUCCCUCUUCUCACAGCCUCAUGGCUGCUACUUUGUCAUGGCCACUGAUGCUCCCUCAUUCUUGCCUUUUGCCUUUGCUCUGUGCAUCUCUCCCUUUCUCCCCAUUCCACCCCAUGAUGCAGAGACCAUGUCUGUUUUGUGUACUAUUGUAUACCCAGUGCCUGGAAUACUUUUGAUUAAGGAAUGGUUUUUGCCUUUCUCUGAGUUUUCCAUUCAGACUUGCCAAGACAUGGCAUCUGAUGGGGCUGAGCCCCUUCAUGCCUGUCUUUGGUCAGGCAUCACCCCGGUCCAACCCAUUAUGGCCAAUGUCUAGCAGGGCCACCUGCAGGUAAUUAAAGGCAUCCAGAAAGAUGGAAGUAUAACUUGUUCAGUGCAAACAAGCUAUGAUGGGCAGAUUCUGGCUCGGCUCCUGCAUCCUGGUAUUCCUGCCCUUGUGUAAUCCUCUCCCCUUGAGUGUUGGCUGGGCCUGGUGACUUGCUCCUAACCAAGAGAAUACAGCAAAAGUGAUGGAAGUCAUUCCUAUGAUUAGGUUAUCAAAGAUUGCGACUUCUGUCUUGCUGAUAUUCUCACUCUGGUUCUUUGUUUAUGCUUGCCCUGUUGGAGAGGACCAUCUGUCAAGGGACCGUGGGUGACAUUCAGCCAACAGCAGAAAACUGAAUCCUACCAACGGUCACGUGAGCUGCGAAGUGUACCCAUUCCAGCAAAGCCUUCAGAUGAGACCAGAACCUCAGCUGACGCCUGGAUUUCAGCCUUGUGAGAGACCCUGAGGCAGAGGACCCAGCUGAGCGGUUCCUGGAUUCCUGACCUACACAAAUUCAGUGAUUUCAGAAGCCACGUGGUCCAGGUGGCAUAGCGCAAGAUGGAGGAGGACCACCCAACCAGUAUCAGACUGAGAUCGGAGGGAGAGAUGAACUUCGUUUCCAUGAGUCAGGAAUUCAGGGGUGUUCCAUCGGGCAGUUCCCACCCAAGGUAUCUCAUGAGGGUACACUCAGAUGUUGGCCAAUGCUGCAUCAUCUGAAGGCUCUAGGCUGGAGGAUCCAUUUCCAAGAGGGUGCACUCAUGUGGCUGUUGUCCAGAAGCCUCAGCUCCUUUCCGCACAGUGAUCCAAGACACCAAAGAGGAAGCUGUGAUGCCUUCACACGCUGUCACUUCCAUCAUGUAAAUUUCCUGGUCACACAGGGACCUGGUGGGUGCAAAGAGCAGAAGGUCUGGAAUGAGGCUGCCUGGAGCAAAUUCCGGUUCUCAUCUUUACUGGCUGUGUGACCUUGGAUCAAGGCAGGAAUGGAGAGAGCACAAGCCUUUGAGUUGAAAGACCCAGACUGGAGUUCUAACUCAGCCCUGGCCCUGUCCUCAGAAGGAGCUGACACCUCAGGAAAAUGCACAGAUCCUCAGGGAACGACACGCCACUGACUUCAGGAGGCCAGGUGUGACCACGUGACUGGCCUGUCCCUUCUGGGCAGAACUUCAAGUGCAAGCCUGUGAUCCGCCAUAUUCCCUCAUCCUGCCUCGGUGACAGGGGAGGCGUGUGUUGAGAUGAAGCUUCCCUGUCCUUGGUCCCUUAGCAUUUGGGGCCUUGACCCUGAAGAGACUGACCUCCUAGGGCUAGCGAAUUCCUAGAGAUAGCAAACAGCUCCUGUGAGAACGCGCCUUUGAUACACAAACCAACCAAUCUACAGCCACAGCCCCAACUAUGUCUUCUAUCAAACUCACACCCAAGCCAGUGUUUUCCCUGCCCUGAAUCACCCCAGGACCAGGUACUGGACAGCUAGGGGCCACACCUGUAGCCCAGACCUGCCAGAAUUAUCCAAACUAGUCAACCCUAUGCUUACUCAGUGUACCCACUCUGCCUCGCCCAUUCCUUCCUGCGAAAACCCCAAUAAAGGCUCUGGGCCAUGCUAUUCCCUGGCCCUCUGUGCCUCCCGACCAACCCCGGUCCCUCUCCAUGUGGCACUGCAAGAUGUUCCGUGCCUCCUGCUUCUACGGAUAUGUGAGUAGAAACUUCUUUAUGAUCAUCAUUUUUGUGCCUGCAUGUCUUACCAUUCCUGAUAAAAAUAAGUCCCACUCCAUUUUAACUCAAACCUGAUCCAUCCUGAUGGAUACACUAGGAGGAAGAUUGGGACUGGCAUCAGCCACACCGGAUUUUCUUACCCUCCUCCCCACCUCUGGGUUCUGCUUCGCUCCGGGCUAGCCUCUCCUACUGCAGGUGGGCUUUUGUGUGAGGAAGGUGGGCCCGAGCAUCCCCGGCUUCACUACCAGAGCCGAGAGGCAGGAGGCUGUCUUCGCUGCUGAUUCCAGCAGAACAGGCAUAGGGAAAGAUCAGUCUGGCCCAGUUUGAGUCAGGUGCAAUCAUGGGACAAUCUCUGCAGGGCACGGCCGUCGGUCAGGACUGAGCCAUCCACUCACCCCUGUGCCUGGGUGGGCGGACAGUGCUGGAAGCCAAGGGGAGCCACCACCGAGACCUAUCAUCGCCCUUCCGUGAAUGGAGUCUGGACACCCAAACCCUGCCUCGCCCUAAGGGAAGAAGUUUGCAGGCAGCUGCUCAUCGCACAAAGUACUACUGGGAAACCAGACAAGCACGGAACGAAGGAACUUCAUUUGAGGUAGAAGCUCAGAGGUUUUUUCUGAGAUAGGGUCAAGCCAACCCAUUAACAUGGUAUCUACACACCAUCCAUCCUCGCCAAUAGUAGGAAAACCACCCACUUAAACGAGCGCGUGAGGUGAAGGGUAGCAAACGUUUUAUCAGUGUUAUUUCUUGAAUGCCCUCUAUGUGUCAUGCAUCCAGAUGAUUCUGUUCAGGUGGAUCUGGCUAAAGGAAUGUUCAACUGUCCAGACACCCAUGCCAGGCUUCCUGCUUCUAGUCAGUUUCGUAUGG